GGAUGUGAGAGCGAUCUGGCUGCAGCAUCUGUCAUUGAUCGUCAGGAUUGAUUCGCCUGAUCAGGCUGGCUAGUCGGGUGUCCCCUCCCUCCCUCACCACUCCAUGUACAUCGCUCCCAAAGGUGCAUGCUCAGUCGAAGAGGACGACCUUCCCCGAAUAGAGGAGGAUGGAUCUUUGGUCAAGCGUAUACGAGUAGUGCCACUCCCCUGCUAGAACCUCCAAAAAAAUUCUCAAGAAAAUGACUGACAAUCUGCCAAUAUAGGAAGGACAGUUUUAAAUUUCCUGCUACACUGAGAUAUCUGCCAGAUACUGU
Unclassified non-coding RNA from Cricetulus griseus (Chinese hamster), 314 nucleotides. Its record names the gene 7SK. It matches the Rfam family "7SK RNA". Rfam says of the family: 7SK was discovered as an abundant small nuclear RNA in the mid-70s but a possible function has only recently been suggested. Two independent studies have found that 7SK RNA binds the CDK9/cyclin T complex (known as elongation factor P-TEFb). Lineage: Eukaryota; Metazoa; Chordata; Mammalia; Rodentia; Cricetidae. The record is from Ensembl.